UCUGACUGACUGAGUGACUGACUGACGAGA
This 30-nucleotide non-coding RNA is filed under the name Macaca fascicularis (crab-eating macaque). The record is from RNAcentral. Lineage: Eukaryota; Metazoa; Chordata; Mammalia; Primates; Cercopithecidae. RNAcentral also lists the same sequence under 1 other name.